RNAcentral lists this ribosomal RNA (497 nucleotides) under uncultured bacterium. RNAcentral describes it as "partial 16S ribosomal RNA". It matches the Rfam family "Bacterial small subunit ribosomal RNA", at positions 28 to 507 of the family's 1533-position model. The record is from RNAcentral.
GAUGAACGCUGGCGGCGUGCCUAAUACAUGCAAGUCGAGCGAACAGACGAGGAGCUUGCUCCUCUGACGUUAGCGGCGGACGGGUGAGUAACACGUGGAUAACCUACCUAUAAGACUGGGAUAACUUCGGGAAACCGGAGCUAAUACCGGAUAAUAUAUUGAACCGCAUGGUUCAAUAGUGAAAGACGGUUUUGCUGUCACUUAUAGAUGGAUCCGCGCCGCAUUAGCUAGUUGGUAAGGUAACGACUUACCAAGGCGACGAUGCGUAGCCGACCUGAGAGGGUGAUCGGCCACACUGGGACUGAGACACGGUCCAGACUCCUACGGGAGGCAGCAGUAGGGAAUCUUCCGCAAUGGGCGAAAGCCUGACGGAGCAACGCCGCGUGAGUGAUGAAGGUCUUCGGAUCGUAAAACUCUGUUAUUAGGGAAGAACAAAUGUGUAAGUAACUAUGCACGUCUUGACGGUACCUAAUCAGAAAGCCACGGCUAACUACGUG